Long non-coding RNA from Dama dama (fallow deer), 1106 nucleotides. RefSeq lists it as uncharacterized. The record is from RefSeq and is a predicted model, not a curated record. The transcript has 3 exons. NCBI's taxonomy places the organism in Eukaryota, Metazoa, Chordata, Mammalia, Artiodactyla, Cervidae.
UGUGUGUGUGUGUGUGUGUGUGUAAGGGGUGGUGACAGGAAUGACUGUACUCUCCCUAGGGCUUGAGGAGAGGUGAGAGAGAUGGUGGCCCAGCCUGUGGGGUGGGCAGAAAAGAUAAAAUCCUAAGGUACUAGCAUAUGCCAUGGAGUUCAUCCCAGCAGCCUGGUUCCCUUGGCUUCCCUACUAAUGGAAGCUGAAGGGAGGGGCAGUGUCUGCAGCUGCUCUGGGCUGACUGUUGUUUGUGGGGACAGCUGAAAGAGGAGCCAGUAGGGGUGGGGCUGUGGCUGUCUUGAGCCAUGUGGGUUUUUCCAGGAAAUUAUCCACUAUUCUCCAGGGACAUAAACAGGCCACCAUGAAAAAUGUCCAAGCCUAAAAAAAUUCAGAAGUAAGCCCUGAUAUUGGGUAUAAUUGCCGUAAGCCCCUUGAGGACACCAUGGUAAAAGUCUUUGAUUGAAAAGACCUGGUAGGUGUUUGUGUAUCAGUCUGAGAGGUCCCUGAGAGGAACUGUGCAUCUCCCUGUAAGUAUUUUCCCAAGCAUCCCCAAAUCUUCAUCUGAAGAAUGGCUAAGUUUUUUGGUUCAAGUUCUGUUCAUUCUUACAUCAUUCCAGAAAGCAUUCUUCUCUUACACCCAUGUCCAAGACAAGGUUCAAGAAUUCAGCGUGAAUUAAUAACAUCAGCAGAUACUUCCCAAAAUUCAAUUGAGUCAUUAAUUUCAUCUGCUGUCAUCCCUUUCUCCAGCCUUGCACCAAAGCUCCUAGGAUUAAUAAAAUGGAGCAGCUCUAGAGGAAUAGGUGAUCAGGGCAAUGACCAAUGAUGUGGCAGUUAGCAGGAGGAGCAGAAAAAGAAGGGGAAGUGACUGCCUAAUAUAAUGGAUAAUUGAGAAUCAUCUGCAUAAGAUACGAAUUCAGUCAUUUGAUGCAGAAUGGGAAACUGCAUCCUGCAAACUUUAAUCUCAGAGCCAAAUCUCAAACUAUGGCUAGCUCUUUCAGCAGUGAAUCCAGGAAACCCUGCUUCCACUUUGCAUUUAAUGGUGCUCAUCAGCCUUUGGGUCAAGGUUUCUGCUCUGUUCUGAACAUCUGCUGACUGAGCCAAAGGAGGAACCAGAA